UACGAAGGGGGCUAGCGUUGUUCGGAUUUACUGGGCGUAAAGCGCGUGUAGGCGGAUCGUUAAGUCGGGGGUGAAAGCCCAGAGCUCAACUCUGGAAUUGCCUUCGAUACUGGCGGUCUGGAGCAGAGAAGAGGCGAGUGGAAUUCCGAGUGUAGAGGUGAAAUUCGUAGAUAUUCGGAGGAACACCAGUGGCGAAGGCGGCUCGCUGGUCUCUUGCUGACGCUGAGGCACGAAAGCGCGGGGAGCAAACAGG
RNAcentral lists this ribosomal RNA (253 nucleotides) under uncultured bacterium. Its description in RNAcentral is "partial 16S ribosomal RNA". It matches the Rfam family "Bacterial small subunit ribosomal RNA", at positions 524 to 776 of the family's 1533-position model. The record is from RNAcentral.